UGCAUUCACUACUGUAAGUCACUCUGGAUAAGAGCGUCUGCUACAUGACUAAAA
Salmo salar (Atlantic salmon) is the source of this 54-nucleotide non-coding RNA. NCBI's taxonomy places the organism in Eukaryota, Metazoa, Chordata, Actinopteri, Salmoniformes, Salmonidae. The record is from Rfam.